UUUUUUUUUUUUUUUUUUUUUUUUUUGGUCUGCUUGUUUGAAAGUAUUUCUGACAUUUUCCUCACACUUCUAGGUCAUCCUUAUAGGAAGGACAACCUCCAGUAUUUCUCCGCCUUUAAUUUCCCUCCCAUUCUUAGCAGAUAAGUUGCAAUAUCAAACUUCGCUUUAUGAUGGAGAUUCGAAUGGUGGAGACUGACCGUUAUGUCCUGCUGGUGUGUAUCCCAGUUUGGAGGCCUCCCUUUCUACCUUCUUUCAUGAAGAGCCUUCAGGUGUGGUUCCGCUAGGAAUCCCCUAAAUCCUAGUCUGUGUGUGGCACCCACCACACCUCAAUGUGCAGUAAAACUCCUCUCAAAUCUCUUAAGGUCCCUAAUUGUUCAAUGUUCCUGAUGUGGAAGGCAGAUGACCAUCUGCUCAGGUCUCAUCCUACUGCAUUUAUCUCAGAUGUUUUUUCCCUAAUUAGAUAUACUCUGGUACCACAAGAACAGCUUUGUAGUAGUAUUGCACUCCAGCUUUAAUUUACAUCUUCCUCAUGGUUAAUGAUGUUGAGCAUCUUUUCAAGUCCCUGUUUUCCCUAUUUCUAUCUGUAGAUGUAUCUUCUUUGGUGAAGUGACUUGAGUAUAUAUAUAUAUAUAUAUAAAAUCUAGUCUAUAUCAGAUAUAUAAUUUGAUUUACAAACAUCUUCUGGUUAGGCUGUAGCCUAUCUUUCCAUGAUCUUUACAGGAUUUUGCAAAAAGCACGUCUUAAAAUUUGAAGAAUGAAAUCCAAAUGAUCAAUUUUUAAUUUUUGUGAACUGUGCUUUCGAUGUCAUGUGUAAGAAGACUGCCUAAGCCAAGGUCACAAAAGUUUCCUAUAUUUUUAGAGUUUGUGUAGUUUCAGGCUUUAAAUAUGAUCCAUUUUGAGGGUUUUUUUUUUUUGUAUAUUACACAUGGUAUGCCUCAAACUUUAUUUUUUCAUACAGAUAUGUAACUGUUCCAGUACUGUUCAUUAAAGACUAUCCUUUCUCCACUCAUUUCUUUUGUACCUCAUCAAAAGUCAGUUGUCAUGUACAUGUGGUCUAUUUCUAGACCUUCUGUUCUGAUCUAUUUGCCUAUCUUGAUGCCAAGAUGAUACUGUUUCAUGACUCUAACUUCAUAAGAGUUUUUGAAAUCAGAUAGUGCUUCUCCUCCAACUUUGCUCAUCUUUUUCAAAGUGACUUUGGCUCUUCUGAGAAUUUGCAUUUCCAUUUGAACAUGACAGUCAAGUGAUCACUUCUACAAAAAGCCACCCAGUGAGCCCAUCCUGCUGCCCCUGUGCGCUCUUCCUCCUUGGGCCACAUCUGGACUCAGGUGAUAAGCUGGGGCGAGGGGAGGGGGCACCUCAUCUGUUUCUCUUAUCUCAGGUGUCUCUCCUUCAUCGUCUGAUGUCCAGUGUCUUCAGAAGCAUCACUUCACACAUUUUGUCUUUCUUUUUCAGUUAUUUCAGGCAGGAGGAUAAACCCAGUC
RNAcentral lists this long non-coding RNA (1481 nucleotides) under Sus scrofa (pig). Its description in RNAcentral is "lncRNA (ENSSSCG00060068926.1)". Lineage: Eukaryota; Metazoa; Chordata; Mammalia; Artiodactyla; Suidae. The record is from RNAcentral.